Molecule: ribosomal RNA, 497 nt
Filed under: uncultured bacterium
Lineage: Bacteria
Description: partial 16S ribosomal RNA
Rfam family: Bacterial small subunit ribosomal RNA
Source: RNAcentral
GAUGAACGCUGGCGGCGUGCUUAACACAUGCAAGUCGAGCGAGAAAUUACAGUACAAGUUUUCGGACGAGUAAAGUAAUGGAAAGCGGCGGACGGGUGAGUAACGCGUAGGCAACCUGCCCUAUACAAAGGGAUAGCUCCGGGAAACCGGAAUUAAUACCUUAUAACACAACUUUAUCGCAUGAUAGAGGUGUCAAAGAUUUAUCGGUAUAGGAUGGGCCUGCGUCUGAUUAGCUAGUUGGUAGGGUAAAGGCUUACCAAGGCGACGAUCAGUAGCCGACCUGAGAGGGUGAUCGGCCACACUGGAACUGAGACACGGUCCAGACUCCUACGGGAGGCAGCAGUGGGGAAUAUUGCACAAUGGGCGAAAGCCUGAUGCAGCAACGCCGCGUGAGGGAAUAAGGUCUUCGGAUCGUAAACCUCUGUCCAAAGGGAUGAAAAAAAUGACAGUACCUUUGGAGGAAGCCCCGGCUAACUACGUGCCAGCAGCCGCCGUAA